GCAGAAUAUUGCCAUUAAUGGAGGUCACCGAAGCUCUCAAGGAAGAUUAAGAGGAAGAGCCUACGAUAUAUUUCACAUCAUCAUCGAUAAUUUCGAAGAGGAAAAACCCGAUUCACCGACGAUUGAUGAAUUAACGAGAUUGAUAGCGACAAUUUCUGAGAUGUAGUUGAUUGACUGAGGUUUGAGAUUGAUAAUUAAAGGAUCUAUUAGUAAAAAAAAUUGAAUUUGAAGUAAACCCAGAUCUCCCAAGAUGCUAGUUCUUAAAAGGAAAGAAAGAAGAAAAAUGGUGUGCCCCAUUCUACAGUGUCUAGUGUUGCCUCCCAAAUGAGGUGAAUAUACGAACAUAAAUAGGUCAACAAAUCUGGGAGGAAUGUUCAAGAAUCCUUGAACUCCAUGGAGAGAUUAAGCACGUUGUUGUCAAAUGGUUGGAGUCACAAUGUGUUCAUAUGUAAAAUGUGCACUUUUGUACACAUUGAAAAUUAUCUGUAAGAGAUUGUGCACUUUGUACCCAAAGAAUUC
Molecule: long non-coding RNA, 519 nt
Organism: Solanum stenotomum
Lineage: Eukaryota; Viridiplantae; Streptophyta; Magnoliopsida; Solanales; Solanaceae
Exons: 3
Source: RefSeq, a predicted model, not a curated record